RNAcentral lists this ribosomal RNA (296 nucleotides) under uncultured bacterium. RNAcentral describes it as "partial 16S ribosomal RNA". It matches the Rfam family "Bacterial small subunit ribosomal RNA", at positions 28 to 317 of the family's 1533-position model. The record is from RNAcentral.
GACGAACGCUGGCGGCGUGCUUAACACAUGCAAGUCGAGCGGUAAGGCCCUUUCGGGGGUACGACGAGCGGCGAACGGGUGAGUAACACGUGGGUGACCUGCCCUCCAGCUCUGGGAGUAAAGCCCGGGAAACCGUAGGGUCGUAAUAACCGGAUAUGACUCCACGGUGCAUGUCGUGGGGUGGAAAGCCUUGUGCGACUGAGGAUGGGCCCGCGGCCUAUCAGCUUGUUGGUGGGGUGAGGCCUACCAAGGCGACGACGGGUAGCCGGCCUGAGAGGGCGACCGGCCACACUGGG